UGACUCGUUAGCUCAGCUGGUAGAGCAUCUGACUUUUAAUCAGAGGGCCACUGGUUCGAGCCCAGUACGGGUCAU
RNAcentral lists this transfer RNA (75 nucleotides) under Streptococcus infantarius subsp. infantarius. Its description in RNAcentral is "tRNA-Lys". It matches the Rfam family "tRNA". Rfam says of the family: Transfer RNA (tRNA) molecules are approximately 80 nucleotides in length. Their secondary structure includes four short double-helical elements and three loops (D, anti-codon, and T loops). Lineage: Bacteria; Bacillati; Bacillota; Bacilli; Lactobacillales; Streptococcaceae. The record is from RNAcentral.